Arachis ipaensis is the source of this 131-nucleotide non-coding RNA. Lineage: Eukaryota; Viridiplantae; Streptophyta; Magnoliopsida; Fabales; Fabaceae. The record is from RefSeq and is a predicted model, not a curated record.
UGAUGAAAAAGCAACUAAAGGGGGGCCUUAAACUUUACCAUGAUAUAAAAAAUAAAAAUUAAAAAAAGGGUCCAAGAAAGACCUGAUGAUGCCCGUUUUGGGUGGUUUUCAGUGGUGAAGAGUCUCCAUCA